UACGAAGGGGGCUAGCGUUGUUCGGAUUUACUGGGCGUAAAGCGCACGUAGGCGGAUUGGUCAGUUAGGGGUGAAAUCCUGGAGCUCAACUCCAGAACUGCCUUUAAUACUGCCAGUCUCGAGUCCGGAAGAGGUAAGUGGAACUCCUAGUGAAGAGGUGGAAUUCGUAGAUAUUAGGAAGAACACCAGUGGCGAAGGCGGCUUACUGGUCCGGUACUGACGCUGAGGUGCGAAAGCGUGGGGAGCAAACAGG
Molecule: ribosomal RNA, 253 nt
Filed under: uncultured bacterium
Lineage: Bacteria
Description: partial 16S ribosomal RNA
Rfam family: Bacterial small subunit ribosomal RNA
Source: RNAcentral